GAUGAACGCUGGCGGCGUGCCUAAUACAUGCAAGUCGAGCGAACAGACGAGGAGCUUGCUCCUCUGACGUUAGCGGCGGACGGGUGAGUAACACGUGGAUAACCUACCUAUAAGACUGGGAUAACUUCGGGAAACCGGAGCUAAUACCGGAUAAUAUAUUGAACCGCAUGGUCCAAUAGUGAAAGACGGUUUUGCUGUCACUUAUAGAUGGAUCCGCGCCGCAUUAGCUAGUUGGUAAGGUAACGGCUUACCAAGGCAACGAUGCGUAGCCGACCUGAGAGGGUGAUCGGCCACACUGGCACUGAGACACGGUCCAGACUCCUACGGGAGGCAGCAGUAGGGAAUCUUCCGCAAUGGGCGAAAGCUUGACGGAGCAACGCCGCGUGAGUGAUGAAGGUCUUCGGAUCGUAAAACUCUGUUAUUAGGGAAGAACAAAUGUGUAAGUAACUAUGCACGUCUUGACGGUACCUAAUCAGAAAGCCCCGGCUAACUACGUG
This 497-nucleotide ribosomal RNA is filed under the name uncultured bacterium. Its description in RNAcentral is "partial 16S ribosomal RNA". It matches the Rfam family "Bacterial small subunit ribosomal RNA", at positions 28 to 507 of the family's 1533-position model. The record is from RNAcentral.